GUUAGUAACGCGUUGGAACGUGCCCUUUUCUACGUGAAUAGCCUCUGGAAACGGAGAGUAAUACCGUAUACGCCCUUUGGGGGAAAGAUUUAUCGGACGAAGGAUCGGCCCGCGUAAGAUUAAGUAGUUGGUGGGGUAAUGGCCUACCAGGCCUACGAUCUAUAGCUGGUUUAGACGAUGAUCGCCACCUGGGACUAGACACGCCCAAACUCUACGAGGAGCAGAGUGGGGGAUCUUAGACCAUGGGGGCAACCCAGAUUAUGCCUGCCGGGUAAUAUGAAGGGCUAGGGUCGAAAGCUCUUAGCCAUGGAGAUAGUACAGAGGACAGGAAAGAAACCCCGGGAAAUCCGGG
Molecule: ribosomal RNA, 352 nt
Filed under: uncultured Leisingera sp.
Lineage: Bacteria; Pseudomonadati; Pseudomonadota; Alphaproteobacteria; Rhodobacterales; Roseobacteraceae
Description: bacterial SSU rRNA
Rfam family: Bacterial small subunit ribosomal RNA
Source: RNAcentral